This 371-nucleotide ribosomal RNA is filed under the name uncultured bacterium. RNAcentral describes it as "bacterial SSU rRNA". It matches the Rfam family "Bacterial small subunit ribosomal RNA", at positions 156 to 507 of the family's 1533-position model. The record is from RNAcentral.
ACAGGUGCUAAUACCGCAUAACAACUNUUGACCGCCUGGUCAAAGCUUAAAAGAUGGUUUCGGCUAUCACUUCGGGAUGGGCCUGCGGCGCAUUAGCUUGUUGGUGGGGUAACGGCCUACCAAGGCGAUGAUGCGUAGCCGAGUUGAGAGACUGAUCGGCCACAAUGGGACUGAGACACGGCCCAUACUCCUACGGGAGGCAGCAGUAGGGAAUCUUCCACAAUGGGCGCAAGCCUGAUGGAGCAACACCGCGUGAGUGAAGAAGGGUUUCGGCUCGUAAAGCUCUGUUGUUGAAGAAGAAUGUGUCAAGAUGAGUACUGUUCAUUGUUAUNGACGUAUUCCAACCUAGAAACUCACUGNUUAACCUACAG